This 800-nucleotide ribosomal RNA is filed under the name Glutamicibacter nicotianae. Its description in RNAcentral is "bacterial SSU rRNA". It matches the Rfam family "Bacterial small subunit ribosomal RNA", at positions 57 to 868 of the family's 1533-position model. The record is from RNAcentral. Lineage: Bacteria; Bacillati; Actinomycetota; Actinomycetes; Micrococcales; Micrococcaceae.
GCAAGUCGAACGAUGAAGCCCAGCUUGCUGGGUGGAUUAGUGGCGAACGGGUGAGUAACACGUGAGUAACCUGCCCCCGACUCUGGGAUAAGCCCGGGAAACUGGGUCUAAUACCGGAUAUGACCUCGCACCGCAUGGUGCGGGGUGGAAAGAUUUAUCGGUGGGGGAUGGACUCGCGGCCUAUCAGCUUGUUGGUGAGGUAAUGGCUCACCAAGGCGACGACGGGUAGCCGGCCUGAGAGGGUGACCGGCCACACUGGGACUGAGACACGGCCCAGACUCCUACGGGAGGCAGCAGUGGGGAAUAUUGCACAAUGGGCGAAAGCCUGAUGCAGCGACGCCGCGUGAGGGAUGACGGCCUUCGGGUUGUAAACCUCUUUCAGUAGGGAAGAAGCGAAAGUGACGGUACCUGCAGAAGAAGCGCCGGCUAACUACGUGCCAGCAGCCGCGGUAAUACGUAGGGCGCAAGCGUUAUCCGGAUUUAUUGGGCGUAAAGAGCUCGUAGGCGGUUUGUCGCGUCUGCCGUGAAAGUCCGAGGCUCAACCUCGGAUCUGCGGUGGGUACGGGCAGACUAGAGUGAUGUAGGGGAGACUGGAAUUCCUGGUGUAGCGGUGAAAUGCGCAGAUAUCAGGAGGAACACCGAUGGCGAAGGCAGGUCUCUGGGCAUUUACUGACGCUGAGGAGCGAAAGCAUGGGGAGCGAACAGGAUUAGAUACCCUGGUAGUCCAUGCCGUAAACGUUGGGCACUAGGUGUGGGGGACAUUCCACGUUUUCCGCGCCGUAGCUAACGCAUUAAGUGCC